RNAcentral lists this ribosomal RNA (460 nucleotides) under uncultured bacterium. RNAcentral's name for it is "partial 16S ribosomal RNA". It matches the Rfam family "Bacterial small subunit ribosomal RNA", at positions 338 to 795 of the family's 1533-position model. The record is from RNAcentral.
CCUACGGGGGGCAGCAGUGAGGAAUAUUGGUCAAUGGGCGCGAGCCUGAACCAGCCACGCAGCGUGAAGGAUGACUGCCCUACGGGUUGUAAACUUCUUUUAUAAAGGAAUACAGUGAGGCACGUGUGCCUUUUUGUCUGUACUUUAUGUAUAAGGAUCGGCAUACUCCGUGCCGGCCGCCGCGUUAAUACGGAGGGUCCGAGCGUUAUCCGGAUUUAUUGGGUUUAAGGGAAGCGUAGGUGGGUUUUUAAGUCAGUUGUGAAAGUUUGCGGCUCAACCGUAAAAUUGCAAUUGAUACUGGCAGUCGUGAGUACAGUUGAGGUAGGCGGAAUUCGUGGUGUAGCGGUGAAAUGCUUAGAUAUCACGAAGAACUCCGAUUGCGAAGGCAGCUUACUAAACUGCCACUGACAUUGAUGCUCGAAAGUGUGGGUAUCAAACAGGAUUAGAUACCCGGGUAGUC